This 74-nucleotide transfer RNA is filed under the name Danionella translucida. It matches the Rfam family "tRNA". Rfam says of the family: Transfer RNA (tRNA) molecules are approximately 80 nucleotides in length. Their secondary structure includes four short double-helical elements and three loops (D, anti-codon, and T loops). Lineage: Eukaryota; Metazoa; Chordata; Actinopteri; Cypriniformes; Danionidae. The record is from Rfam by way of RNAcentral. RNAcentral also lists the same sequence under 1 other name.
GGCCUGUUAGUUCAGCUGGUUAGAGCGUGGUGCUAAUAACGCCAAGGUCGUGGGUUCGAUCCCCACAUGGGCCA